RNAcentral lists this transfer RNA (75 nucleotides) under Flaviflexus ciconiae. RNAcentral's name for it is "Flaviflexus sp. H23T48 tRNA-Lys". It matches the Rfam family "tRNA". From Rfam's summary of the family: Transfer RNA (tRNA) molecules are approximately 80 nucleotides in length. Their secondary structure includes four short double-helical elements and three loops (D, anti-codon, and T loops). The record is from RNAcentral. Lineage: Bacteria; Bacillati; Actinomycetota; Actinomycetes; Actinomycetales; Actinomycetaceae.
GGGCCUCUAGCUCAAUGGUAGAGCUCCGGACUUUUAAUCCGUAGGUUGUGGGUUCGAAUCCCACGGGGCCUACCC